RNAcentral lists this transfer RNA (72 nucleotides) under Patescibacteria group bacterium. Its description in RNAcentral is "tRNA-Thr". It matches the Rfam family "tRNA". From Rfam's summary of the family: Transfer RNA (tRNA) molecules are approximately 80 nucleotides in length. Their secondary structure includes four short double-helical elements and three loops (D, anti-codon, and T loops). The record is from RNAcentral.
GCCGCCCUAGCUCAGUGGUAGAGCAACGGUUUUGUAAACCGUAGGUCCUGGGUUCGAAUCCCAGGGGCGGCU